Molecule: ribosomal RNA, 460 nt
Filed under: uncultured bacterium
Lineage: Bacteria
Description: partial 16S ribosomal RNA
Rfam family: Bacterial small subunit ribosomal RNA
Source: RNAcentral
CCUACGGGUGGCAGCAGUGAGGAAUAUUGGUCAAUGGGCGCGAGCCUGAACCAGCCAAGUAGCGUGAAGGAUGACUGCCCUACGGGUUGUAAACUUCUUUUAUAAAGGGAUAAAGUGAGGCACGUGUGCCUUUUUGUAUGUACUUUAUGAAUAAGGAUCGGCUCACCCCGUGCCAGCAGCCGCGGUACUACGGAGGAUCCGAGCGUUAUCCGGAUUUAUUGGGUUUAAAGGGAGCGUAGAUGGGUUGUUAAGUCAGUUGUGAAAGCUUGCGGCUCAACCGUAAAAUUGCAAUUGAUACUGGCAGUCUUGAGUACAGUAGAGGUAGGCGGAAUUCGAGGUGUAGCGGUGAAAUGCUUAGAUAUCACGAAGAACUCCGAUUGCGAAGGCAGCUUACUAAACGGCCACUGACAUUGAUGCUCGAAAGUGUGGGUAUCAAACAGGAUUAGAUACCCGAGUAGUC